AGAAGGCGGCGUCGUUAAUAGCGGCGUUUGUUUGUACGUUAGCGACAGAAGAAGCACCGGCUAACUCCGUCGCCAGCAGCCGCGGUAAUACGGAGGGUGCGAGCGUUAAUCGGAAUUACUGGGCGUAAAGCGCAUGCAGGUGGUUUGUUAAGUCAGAUGUGAAAGGCCCGGGGCUUAACCGUACGGAAUAGCUAUUUAGUAAACUGGCAGACUAGAGUACUGUAGAGGGGGGUAGGAAUUUCAGGUGUAGCGGUGAAAAUGCGUAGAGAUCUGAAGGAAUACCGGUGGCGAAGGCGGCCCCCUGGACAGAUACUGACACUCAGAUGCGAAAGCGUGGGGAGCAAACAGGAUUAGAUACCCUGGUAG
Molecule: ribosomal RNA, 366 nt
Filed under: uncultured bacterium
Lineage: Bacteria
Description: bacterial SSU rRNA
Rfam family: Bacterial small subunit ribosomal RNA
Source: RNAcentral